Ailuropoda melanoleuca (giant panda) is the source of this 3974-nucleotide long non-coding RNA. RefSeq lists it as uncharacterized. The transcript has 3 exons. NCBI's taxonomy places the organism in Eukaryota, Metazoa, Chordata, Mammalia, Carnivora, Ursidae. The record is from RefSeq and is a predicted model, not a curated record.
AGGAUUUCUUAAUGGGGUGAAAAUGGCAGUCCCCGAAGCCAGGGUUGCCGGACCCCCAGGGCCGAGCUUGGGCGCGGGAGCCUCGCAGGGGCGGAGAGGCCGGCCGAGCUUGAAGAAGUGGAGGAGAGAUCAGCACAAGUUAAGUGGGGCGUCCCCAUCCCGUCUUCCUGCUCACCCUCCUUUGCCCCCAACUCCAUCUCUGCGACACCCUGCCCCCCAAAAGAAGUCACUCCAGGGCUCUGUCUGCAGAGAGCCAGGGUGAGAGCAGGCAAGGCAAGAGAGAGCGACCUCGGUCGUGGGCAAGUAGCUUGUUUUUACGUCCUUCAAUAAAAUUUUUAUGAGGAUCAUUUGAUUGUUCAUAAAUGUGUCUUUCAUUAAAUAAAAUUGUAGGCUGUUUUUGGAACGGGAAAAAAGCAACGGAGGAAUGGGAGAAAGCAAUUUCUUUGGGGUCGGACGCAGGAAUUCCGGAGGGGGCAGUGUGAUUGUAGGGAAGAUCAGACAACUUGGAUUCCUCCCCCCAAUAAGUUGGUUGCUACCCUCCUCCUUGAAUUUGGGGUUUGUUGCCCAGCCCUUUGCUUUCCAUCAGACUGCCCCAUGGUGGUUUUGUAAAGGUGGGCUUUUGGCAAGCAGGACAUUCUCAGUGUGGGUGCAAGAGAGGGGGCAGGGAGGUUGGCUGGGGAGUAGGAAGAAAGGCAGGUGAUGUCCCCCAGAGACAUGAUGCACCCUAGGCUCGGCAGAGUGAGUUUGAAGGAGGGGUGCAAUUUCAGGGUCAGAAGAGAGGAGUCCCAGUUUGUGCUAUGGAAAAUAGGCAGGAGCUAAGGCUGAGACACAGGUUCUGAGGCAGCAGGGAAGGACAAGGAUUCCCAGACAUGAGACGCCUGCCCUUCUUUCCCACUCCUGUCCCCAGGAGGGGACCAAACGCUGGGGGUGGGGGUGAAGGAUGGUUUUCUCCUGCAUCUCUGUCGACCUGUCUCCUCUGGGGUGGAGAAGGGCUAGGGAGAGAUGUCCAAGAGUGUGUAGCUUGUGUGUUCUGGGGGGGGGGGAAAGUUGAGGGGGGAGGGUAGAUCUGCAGCCUGCAGCACUGACCCCAGCUUUCCCGGGUCCCCUCCCCAGUCCCUGUCCCUCCCCCUCUCCAGUUCUUUCCUUUUCGGUCUAGCGGGGCUGGGAUUUCGACGCACGGGGUGUGUGUGUGAAGUGCCUGGCUGGGGAGAGACAACUCGGGGCCUCAGCCUCCUCGCCCUCAGCUCUGAUUGUCUUCCCCUCCCCCGGACUGGACUGGUGUGGGAAAUCCAAAUUACAGCAAGAAACAGAAUAUCUCUUUGGCCUUGAUGGAGUUGGGUUAGCUGUCAAUCAAAAAUUCUCCCUCACUAGUUCAAGGAAAAGACAGGAGAUUCCCUCCGGUCCCCCUGCCGAGGCUUUCUCCAAAUCCCCAGCACCGUCAGCACCUCCCCCAGCCCUGGCGGCUGGGGACCCUGCCCGGCUCUUGGGCGGCUGCUGGCAGCACUGAGCAGAGACGUGUAGCCUUCAGCGGGCCCGGGGCCAGACAGAGACCUAGAGGACAUCAGGGGACAGAGCCUGAGAGAGACUGAGCCUGAGACAUAACAACUGAAACACGGCGCCAGGCCCAUGGAGAGGGAGGAAGGAGGGAAAGAGAGAAGAAAACGGAGGACUGAGAUAAAAAGAAGAGGAGAGGGGAGAAUUAAAGGAAAGGGGGGGCAAGAUGAAAAGAGAUGGGAGAGCAGGGAGAGGAAGGCGAGCAGAGAGCGAGAGGGAGGAAGGGCGGCGAUAGGCAGGCAGGACGGGGCAGGGCGCGAGCUGGGAGCAGCCGUGGCAUUGUGCAGUCCGCUUGCUUGCCGAGCCUUUGCCGCGGGACCGGCUCCGGGCGCGGCGGCCACUUCUGUCCGGACACAAAGGAGGAAGAGGCCUCCUCUCCUGCCCCUCCCAGGCGACCUGCUGGGGUGGGUACACUAGGCCUCCGGGGGGUGUAGAACCCCAUCUCAGCCCAGGCAGCCACCCAGGCGUCUGGGGGCUGAGCCACACUGCAGUCAAGGAGCAAACAAGACGCGAUGAAGGAGAAGGUCUCACGCCCCACUCCUCCUUUUGCGUCUUCGCCAGCCGACAGGGCCCAUCUGCCCCAACCUCAGUUUUCCUAGAAGAAAGGCGCCCCUAAAGACCCUUCCCUAUGGGCCUCUACUAUUUGGGAGAGCUCCUCAGACAUAGUGUCUGUAAACAGAUGCCCCGUUCUGUCCUGGCCACCACUUCUUUUCAACUCUCCAGCUGCCUGCGUACCCUGCUUGCCCACCCCGCAGGGGCAGCGGAAGCGGGGCAACUCGGAUCACCCGGCCCAGGCUCCCCGCUACCGUCAAAUUCCCCAUGAAACGGAGCAGAGAUUGUCGCCUUCGUUUAAGAGCGUGAACUCAGACCCUCCCCACUCAGGCACAGACACAGCUGUGGAUCAGGGAGCAGGCCUCGCCCACACCCCCUCCCCACCAAUGCCCCGGCUUGCCUAGGCCUUGCGGAGAGCAGCAGCCGCGAGGAGGGGGGCUGGAAGAGGCUGGGAGUCCCUGAAUUCACCAGGCCGAGGUCCCUCGGGUUCCACAACUGCAUGUGGGCUGUACCCCUAGUCUCUGCAUUUGGAGGUGGGGUGGCAGGUCAGGGCUCUGAAGCAGAACUUCAGGCUCCCCCCAAAUCCCGGCCUGUGGACAUGGGGGCUCAAAGGAUGUGGGGGCACCAAUAAAGAGGGGCUUGUCUUUCCAGGUUCACCUAUUCCUGCUGCAUCUCCUGCCAGAUUCCCAGACUCCCUCUCACCCCCCCCCACCACUCCCUUCCAUUUUCCUCAGCACCGAUGGGGCAAACCCGAGGGACUGGAGGACACUGGGAGUCCCUGUUGGAGAGGGGGGGAAACCCCAGCUUCAGCCAGCAGCUCUGCAUUCAGUCUGGUUCUUACAGCUCGCCUCCGACCCCGAAAGAAUUCACUGGGCACAGGCGAGCCCCCUAAGGGGGAGGGGCACCCUUACUCCAUCACCUCAGACCUGCACAGCUGCGACCACAACCAAGCUAGCACCACCGUGGGAAGGACAGACAGACAGAAAGACAGACAGCUAAGGCCUGCGCUGGAAGCAGAAUCUGAAUUCUCCUGGCCCGCCGCGAGGAGACCGCGUCCUGCCCCCACCCCAGGUGGGUAUCCGGGAUCCCCACACGCCAGGAGUCAGGCCCCUAAGCCCAGCAGCAGUGAAACCCCUAGGGCCUGUGAACGUGGCCCUCUCAACGCCACGGCCUGCCUUCCCGCCGGCCCCCAGCCCUGCCGCCCCGCAGCAAACGGGGCUCUUUCCGGCUCCCCCAACCCGGUCUGGUUUCCCAGGCUGGGGAGUGGCUGGGGGAGGAGCGGCCCCAGAACCGGGGGUGCCCUCUGCCUGAAGCCCCCUGGCUCUGGCCGCCUUGUUACCUGAUCUUUGUGUGAUGUGUGUGUCGCAAGGAAAUUUGCAGUGACUUUGGAGCCCAGACUGAGGAAGCCGAGGUGGCGAAAGGAGAGACAAUACGGGUCCGAGGUACAAUUAAGGGGCCAGAGCCGCUAUCUCUCCCCCGCCCUCCCUGCCAGACUAGGAGCUGUCUGGCCUCAAACCUCAGGGCAACCCGCGAACCUGGAGCCGGAAACUCAGCCCGUGGCGGAGGGAACCAGAGGAUCCGGCAUCCAGAAAGCUGGAGGGAAGCUCCCUUCCAACUUGGGGGCUCAGCAGCCAGCCCCGCUGAGUUGCAGAGAAUCCAAUGAAUGGAAGUACACAUUCCGACGAAAUUUCCCGAUUUUUUCAGCCUUUGGAAGGAGAGCCUAGGGUUCGGGACGUCUCAGACAGACACAGACAGACAGGCAAACCGCACCUCCGGAGGCGGACAGACUCACAACAUGAGUGUGAGCCUAAAAUCAAAUACAGGUUCAACAUUCCCGAGGCCUUUCUGCCAGGCCGGGCGGGCGCCGA